UGUAAGGAUCCUGUUUAAUCCAUGGUUAC
Molecule: non-coding RNA, 29 nt
Filed under: Mus musculus (house mouse)
Lineage: Eukaryota; Metazoa; Chordata; Mammalia; Rodentia; Muridae
Source: RNAcentral